CGGCAUGAAAGGCGGCGAGGAGAGGCAGCACUGCUGCUCUUGACUUCUGAGCAGGGCUUAGAGAGCCUGCCCCGGCUUAAGCCGAGCUGCUGGUGCUGACCCUGAGCGCCGAGUCCGCGAGCUCUGAGUCCGGAGCCUCCCAGCCGUGGAGCCGUGGGAUGAGGGGGGCGUUGGGGGACAGGGCAAAGUCGAUCUUGGUUGUACAGCCGCCCGAUCCUAGCGCGGAGCUGCGAGCCUGACCGGCCGCGUCUGGCAUGGUCAGAGAAAGAAUUUUCUUUUCCCAACUCCGGCUUUUGGUUUUGUGCGUCCACCUUGCGCAACUCCGGAGCCAGCCGACCCCACAUGGAUUCUCAACAGGUGGCCGGGAAAGUCUGGAGACUCACCAAGCUGAGGAGGAAGAAGGGAACAUCUCAACCCAAGCGGAAUUCUGAAGAACACUUGGCCCCACCUUCCAGAAAUCCUAAAUCACACAGAGGGAAAGUUUUGGCCAGGGCACCAAGAAUGAACCAGAAGCUGAGUCCAUUACUCCAAUUUUCACAUUAACCAGGAGACACACUGAAAAUUGUUUUCUUGAGUGAGAGACUGAAAUUUUGGCUCAAGGGUGUUUCUUUUGGGUCUUCUCUUUAUAUGGCAUGUGAGGACUGCAUCCCAUGUCACAUCUGCAGCCACUCCCAAAUUACACUGCAAGGGAGGGUAGAUUAGGAGUGGGUAGGGAGUAGAGGGGUCUCUAGACACAGCAAAAGCAGCAAGCUGGUGUAGGAAAACCCAGAAAAUAUGUCUCAGAGACAGCCAGUGGCUGCACAUACAAAAGGAAGGCACCUACCUGGAAGAGAAGGGGUUGUGAAGUUCUGCCCAGAGUCACAGCGUUGACGUCCUCAGAAGGUCUCCAGCCCUCUGUAGCAAUCUAUAG
RNAcentral lists this long non-coding RNA (910 nucleotides) under Pan troglodytes (chimpanzee). RNAcentral's name for it is "lincRNA". The record is from RNAcentral. Lineage: Eukaryota; Metazoa; Chordata; Mammalia; Primates; Hominidae.